Cercocebus atys (sooty mangabey) is the source of this 3536-nucleotide long non-coding RNA. RefSeq lists it as uncharacterized. Lineage: Eukaryota; Metazoa; Chordata; Mammalia; Primates; Cercopithecidae. The transcript is spliced from 4 exons. The record is from RefSeq and is a predicted model, not a curated record.
GACCUCAGGCCUCUGUCACCCCCUUAUAAAUGGCCCAGGGUUCUAGGGAGUUGGCUGCAGCUGGGCCUCAUAGCAGCCCCCAGCCUGCCAACUGUGGGCAGGAGCUUGGAGCCAGAUGGCUUGGGGUUGAGAAUGUGCCGGUGCCUGGAGGUCCCUGAGCCUGAGCCUCCCCCCAACCCCAGGGAUCUCCAUGAUCGCCCGGAUGUCAGCACGCAGCGAUUCAUUUGUAAAGAGCUUUGUUUCUGAGCUGGUGGCUGUGGGAUGAGAAACCAAUUUUUAGAACUUGACUAAGCAAAAACAGGAAACAACCCAGAUGUCCCUCAGCUGGGGCUGGAUAAACAGGCUGUGGCCUGCCCCUGCAAUGGAAUACUACUCGGUGACAAAAAGGCGUGCGUCGCCGGAGCUGCCCCACCGAUGCUGGCUCACAAGGCUGUGCUCGUCGGGUUCUGCUGUCGGCACAGAGCUCAGGCUGCCGUUGCCAGGGCCGUGGGGCUCCUUGGGGGGAUGGAGUGUCCUAUAUCUUGAUUAUGGUCACGGUUACAUGACCACAUGCAUUGGUCAGAACUCCCAGAGCUGUGGAUGAAAAAGCGGCAUUUUCCUGUAUGUCAUAUACUGCCUGUAAAUAAAACAUUGGAAAGGGUUCUUUCUUUGCACGCGACACAGACGGCAGCCUGGAACGGGCCCAGCUGGGCACUGCUGAGAAAGCAGAGGCGGCUCCACGCUCACCGUGACAGCCGGGAGAGGACCUCACGCCGUCUGUCCCUUCGUCCCUCGAUGGGCCUGGAGCCCAGGAAGGGCUCUCGGGGUGGGGGUCUUCCCUCACAGGCCUGGCUGCCCGUGGACAACAGUGGCGCCCUCCCCAGCACUUGCCUGGCCUGGGGGAGAGUGGCCGGCGGGGCGGGCCUCGAGCGGGGACUGGGAGGUGUCCUGGGGCUGAAAGGCAGGACUCCGUUGGAGGAGCCCUGCUUCCAUUGACAUAACAACUGGGGAAGUGUCACUAAACUCACAAACAAGCCAACAGCAGAAAGGUUACGCCAUGUGGGGGAGGGGGACAGAGGUCGAAGAGUGGCACCUCGGAGCCGCUCAGCCCCUCGGCUUCUCUCCCAUUCCAGCCAGAUGCCUUCAAAGGUCCUCGGCUAAGUAAACACUGGGACUCCCAUUUCCUCCUGCACAGCAGCCACAGAGAUUCCAGGACUGCUCCGGAGAAGCACCGGCUCCCUCCUUUCCUGCAGACUGGCUCCCAGCCUCUCCUCCAGGGACCCCGACAGCCUUCUGCGGGAAUUACCUGCGGGGGGAGCCCAGAAGCCCCGCCCGAGGCGUGCCUAGGUCAUCAUCUCCCCGCGCCAGCCCCUACGCCGAUGCGGACAGGCCGGGCCUGGCGUUCCGGCUUCCAGCAGCUGCGCACAUGCCUGCGAUGUGACUUUCCCAGGUGGUAAAGUUCCAAACGCAGCAACGUGUUCUCCCCUCAGUGGACACAGGAGAUGCUUUCCUGAAAAAGUCAGCGAGGAUUAAACGUGCAGCAAAGGUCCCCGGGGCAUAUUUUCUGAAGUUCUAGCUCAGGCUCUGGGUACAGGCAGGGCGCUGCCGGACACUGCUCUCUGACGGCCUCUCUCCAUGGCAGAGGCCUCCUCGGCUCAGGGUAGUGGAAACUUGGUCUUCUGUGCAUCUGCGACAUCACAUCUGGGUGGGUGAGACCUUUCUGUGCCCUUUCUACGUCACCCGGAGCCCGUGACGCCCGCUCAUCUGUCUGGCUGGAAUCGCCGCCUGGCCCCUCACCACGGUUAUUGCCUUUCGUGCCGAGUUGCUUGGGUUUGCUGUGUUAUUGGCUCGUUUUUCAUUCUGCAUCUGCAGUAGCCAGACUUGGAGAUGAAAAGCGUGUGGCGCCUAACCAUGAUGAAAGAGGGGCGCGUGCGAGUGCCCGCGCGUCUGAAAAGGACCUUUUAGAGGCGGAGGAGCAGAGGAGGAGAGUGACUGUGGGCUCAGCUGGUCCUGUGGCCCCGUGGUCUGGAUGGUGUGGCCGGAGCCUGGCCUCUCAGAGCCGAGGCUUCCCCAGCUGUGAGGCGAGAGAGGGAGAUUCGCCUUGCAGAGUUCCACGGCGCGGCGCGGAGCGGCCACUCCAUAAGCAUCGUUGCCUUAGCUGUAAUAUGUUAUCACUAUAACGUAUAUCUAUGAGUCAUAAAAUAAUAGAACUAUUUUAUUUUGGAGAUCUCUUAGAAAACAUAAACAGGAGAAAGAACCGUGAAAUGGCUGACUUGAGAAUAGCUUCCGCUCUGCUAUUCAAUUACCCUUCCCUCUUUCUCCCCCUCUCUCUCCUGCAAUUUGAUUAUUUCGGGGCCCACAAUGCACUUGUGCCAACAUCUCUAGGCCUCUCCGGAGGGUGCACACAAGUGAAAUAAACAGGCCUUGUCUGCACCCUCUCUCUUUGGGAGUGGUGUGGGUAAGGAGACCCCCUACAAAGUCAUUUUAUCCCUCAGGUUCAUGGGUGAGCAGGAGCGAUGGGGGACACAGUGGUAGUCUGUGUACCCUGGCGGUGUUCUCCCCAUUCUGAGAAAUUAAGUAAUACACACCAGGUUACAGAACAACCAAGGGGCAGGGCUAGGCUUCUAACUCAGGUGUCUGGAACACAGUGUUUUCCAUUUCAAUAUUCAGUCAUCAUUCAGCAAACAGUGAUCACAUGGGUUCCAGGGUGCUACGCGUCGGGGGCCGGGCGAGCAAGAAGCCGGGUCCCGUGGCAGCCGCAUUGUGGUGGGACAGUCAGAAAAUAAACAUAGGCCAGGCGAAGGCCCAGGAUAACUUCACCGCCACCGAGGGCUUUGGGAAGAGGCCCUAAGGGGAUGUGUCAGUGGCGAUGGGGUCUGCUGCACGGGGCGGGCGGCAGAGGGCUCCGGGGGAGGUCAGGGCCGUAGACACCCGCCGCUGUCUCAACAGUUUGUGAAGUUUCCACAUGGGCUCGUGAUGUGGGGAAAUUUGUCCCUUGUUCGAGCUACAGAGGAGAAUGGGGUGCAGGUGCCAGCUGUUGGUCAGUUCGCCGCUGGCCACCAUCUAGCCCUGCCCUUCAGUGGCUAGAUCCUCAUCAGAUACUUGGGUGCCAGGGACCCAGGAGACCUGUCCCUUGCAGUAUAUGGGAACUCUGUACCUUCCUCCCAGUUUUGCUGUAAACCUAAACAGUUCUUAAAAAGUAGAAGAAAAAAAAAAAACCACAAAACCCCAGCCCCCUAACUGGCCCCUUGGAGAAAAUGGUGAACCCACCCUGAGAAAAGGCCAGUGCCCUGGAAAUCUCUCUUGUUCUGUUCAUGAGGCAUCAUCAUGGGUAGGAAAGAAAUGUAUAGACAUUUCUGUGAUAUUUCUCUGCUUUUCCGGGGGUAAGUACACCCCAAAGGGUAUCUGUGCAUUUGGAAGGUUUGCAGGUUCCGUGGUAGGCCUAUUUCCUGCCAGUCAAGCAAGGUUCCCAAUACUGGAGGCUUCCUCAGACCUGGUCCGAGACAAACGUGGUGAGUCCGUCACGGCACAGCUCCUGGAGCCUCAGAACCCCCACG